GCAGUGGGGAAUCUUGCGCAAUGGGCGAAAGCCUGACGCAGCAACGCCGCGUGGGGGAUGAAGGCUCUCGGGUUGUAAACCCCUUUCAGCAGGGACGAAUCAAGACGGUACCUGCAGAAGAAGCCCCGGCUAACUACGUGCCAGCAGCCGCGGUAACACGUAGGGGGCAAGCGUUGUCCGGAUUUAUUGGGCGUAAAGAGCUCGUAGGUGGCUGAGUAAGUCGGAUGUUAAAUCCCCAGGCUCAACCUGGGACACCACCCGAUACUGCUCUGGCUAGAGUCCGGUAGGGGAGCGUGGAAUUCCUGGUGUAGCGGUGAAAUGCGCAGAUAUCAGGAGGAACACCAGCGGCGAAGGCGGCGCUCUGGGCCGGUACUGACACUGAGGAGCGAAAGCGUGGGUAGCAAACAGGAUUAGA
This 415-nucleotide ribosomal RNA is filed under the name uncultured bacterium. RNAcentral's name for it is "bacterial SSU rRNA". It matches the Rfam family "Bacterial small subunit ribosomal RNA", at positions 351 to 782 of the family's 1533-position model. The record is from RNAcentral.